AAUGUCAAGAAAACAACAUUUUAACACACAAACAUUGAAAUUGGAUUGAUUCCAUGACAAGAGCCUACAAAAACGACUGCACACACACUACAUGAAGCAACCACCAAUGCAAGCAAUGGGCCAUCAUUUUUGCUAGUGAAAAAAUAUGGAUUUAUAGAAUAUGGAUUAUAUUUUAAAUAUUCCAAAACAAAUCUAGAUUACAUGCUCUAACAUCAUUUUGUUUUCACAGAGUCCUAAGACCUACCUACCAUAGAAUAGGUAGCCAAAGAUGAUGUGAAGGUCUUUGUUGGUUGUUAAGGUGUUAACCAGGUCCGUAGCUCGAGUACCAGACAGGGCAAAGAUGGAGGAGAAGAGGUUGGCGAUGCCGGACUUCAGCAAGAACAGAGCCAGCCACAGGGGGAUCAGCUUCAGAAUGGCCAGGUUUCGAUGGCAGGGAUGUCGUCUGGGAACUGCUUCUUCAGGUGAGCCUCCAUCUCUGUCUUGCCGGACAAGACGGUGUACAAUCGCUUCUCACGUCCCUCGCCGAUGUGGAGGUUGUCGAAGUGCUGGUUCAGCUUCACGAACUCCAGCUGGCCCUCGGUGAUCUGAUCAAAGGCGAUACGCAGCAGACUGUUUUCAUGGAGUUGGCCAAUGUAGUGGAGACCUGCAAGGGAAAAUGGGGAGAAAUACCAAUGAGAGGGUGUGACAGCAGCCUCCUGACUGGUCAUGCUGCUCCAGGACCAAGACCUUCUUGCCCACUUUGGCCAUGGUGGCAGCCACGGUCAGACCCCCAAUGCCACUACCAAUGACUAUUG
This is a long non-coding RNA of Esox lucius (northern pike), 794 nucleotides long. RefSeq lists it as uncharacterized. The transcript has 3 exons. The record is from RefSeq and is a predicted model, not a curated record. Lineage: Eukaryota; Metazoa; Chordata; Actinopteri; Esociformes; Esocidae.